UACGGAGGGUGCAAGCGUUACCCGGAAUCACUGGGCGUAAAGCGUGCGCAGGCGGCUUUGCAAGACAGAUGUGAAAUCCCCGGGCUCAACCUGGGAACUGCAUUUGUGACUGCAAGGCUAGAGUACGGCAGAGGGGGAUGGAAUUCCGCGUGUAGCAGUGAAAUGCGUAGAUAUGCGGAGGAACACCAAUGGCGAAGGCAAUCCCCUGGGCCUGUACUGACGCUCAUGCACGAAAGCGUGGGGAGCAAACAGG
Molecule: ribosomal RNA, 253 nt
Filed under: uncultured bacterium
Lineage: Bacteria
Description: partial 16S ribosomal RNA
Rfam family: Bacterial small subunit ribosomal RNA
Source: RNAcentral